Long non-coding RNA from Oncorhynchus keta (chum salmon), 330 nucleotides. RefSeq lists it as uncharacterized. The transcript is spliced from 3 exons. The record is from RefSeq and is a predicted model, not a curated record. Lineage: Eukaryota; Metazoa; Chordata; Actinopteri; Salmoniformes; Salmonidae.
GGUUGGACUGGAAACCAACAGGACAGUAGAUCUCCAGGAAGAGGGUUGGACUGGAAACCAACAGGACAGUAGAUCUCCAGGAAGAGGGUUGGACUGGAAACCAACAGGACAGUAGAUCUCCAGGAAGAGGGUUGGACUGGAAACCAACAGGACAGUAGAUCUCCAGGAAGAGGGUUGGACUGGAAACCAACAGGACAGUAGAUCUCCAGGAAGAGGGUUGGACUGGAAACCAACAGGACAGUAGAUCUCCAGGAAGAGGGUUGGACUGGAAACCAACAGGACAGUAGAUCUCCAGGAAGAGGGUUGAACUGGAAACCAACAGGACAGUAG